GGCAUGCCUUACACAUGCAAGUCGAACGCGAAAGUGUCUUCGGACAUUAGUAGAGUGGCAAACGGGUGAGUAACGCGUGGGAAUCUACCUUAUAGUACGGGAUAGCCUCGGGAGACUGGGAUUAAUACCGUAUACUCCCUUCGGGGGAAAGAUUUAUCGCUAUAAGAUGAGCCCGCGUCAGAUUAGCUAGUUGGUAGGGUAAAAGCCUACCAAGGCAACGAUCUGUAGCUGGUCUGAGAGGACGAUCAGCCACACUGGGACUGAGACACGGCCCAGACUCCUACGGGAGGCAGCAGUGGGGAAUAUUGGACAAUGGACGCAAGUCUGAUCCAGCAAUGCCGCGUGAAUGAUGAAGGCCUUAGGGUUGUAAAGUUCUUUUAGUGGGGAAGAUAAUGACGGUACCCACAGAAAAAGCACCGGCUAACUUCGUGCCAGCCGCCGCCGUAA
This 447-nucleotide ribosomal RNA is filed under the name uncultured bacterium. RNAcentral's name for it is "partial 16S ribosomal RNA". It matches the Rfam family "Bacterial small subunit ribosomal RNA", at positions 41 to 523 of the family's 1533-position model. The record is from RNAcentral.